ACGUGGGAACGUGCCCUUUGGUUCGGAAUAACUCAGGGAAACUUGAGCUAAUACCGGAUGAGCCCUAACGGGGAAAGAUUUAUCGCCAUUGGAGCGGCCCGCGUCCGAUUAGCUUGUUGGUGGGGUAAUGGCCCACCAAGGCGACGAUCGGUAGCUGGUCUGAGAGGACGACCAGCCACACUGGGACUGAGACACGGCCCAGACUCCUACGGGAGGCAGCAGUGGGGAAUCUUGGACAAUGGGGGAGACCCUGAUCCAGCCAUGCCGCGUGAGUGAUGAAGGCCCUANGGUUGUANAACUCUUUCGGCGGGGACGAUAAUGACGGUACCCGCAGAAGAAGCUCCCGGCUACUUCGUG
This 357-nucleotide ribosomal RNA is filed under the name uncultured bacterium. Its description in RNAcentral is "bacterial SSU rRNA". It matches the Rfam family "Bacterial small subunit ribosomal RNA", at positions 115 to 507 of the family's 1533-position model. The record is from RNAcentral.